CCUACGGGGGGCAGCAGUGGGGAAUAUUGGGCAAUGGGCGCAAGCCUGACCCAGCAACGCCGCGUGAAGGAAGAAGGCUUUCGGGUUGUAAACUUCUUUUGUCAGGGAAGAGUAGAAGACGGUACCUGACGAAUAAGCCACGGCUAACUACGUGCCAGCAGCCGCGGUAAUACGUAGGUGGCAAGCGUUGUCCGGAUUUACUGGGUGUAAAGGGCGUGUAGCCGGGUUUGGAAGUCAGAUGUGAAAUCCUGCGGCUUAACCGCAGAACUGCAUUUGAAACUGUUGAUCUUGAGUACUGGAGAGGCAGACGGAAUUCCCAGUGUAGCGGUGAAAUGCGUAGAUAUUAGGAGGAACACCAGUGGCGAAGGCGGUCUGCUGGACCGCAACUGACGGUGAGGCGCGAAAGCGUGGGGAGCAAACAGGAUUAGAUACCCGAGUAGUC
RNAcentral lists this ribosomal RNA (442 nucleotides) under uncultured bacterium. RNAcentral's name for it is "partial 16S ribosomal RNA". It matches the Rfam family "Bacterial small subunit ribosomal RNA", at positions 338 to 795 of the family's 1533-position model. The record is from RNAcentral.